Long non-coding RNA from Onychostruthus taczanowskii (white-rumped snowfinch), 864 nucleotides. RefSeq lists it as uncharacterized. Lineage: Eukaryota; Metazoa; Chordata; Aves; Passeriformes; Passeridae. The record is from RefSeq and is a predicted model, not a curated record. The transcript has 3 exons.
GGGGGUCAGGGCUCACUCCAGGAGUGCUUCCAGGCUGCUCUGGCUGCAGCACUCCGGCGGGAUGCGGGCAGGAUCCGUGCCAGGCAUGGCCCGCUCUGCGCACAGCCAGCCCAGCCCGCCAAGGCCGCGCGGAACGCCGCCGCCCUUCCUAGAAAUGCACCCUGGAGCUUAAAAGAUGGACCUAAUUGAAAAACUCUAUCGAGGUUGUAGCAGCAGGGGAUAAAAGGGAAAGCUGGGCCCAGAUUAACCUGGAGCUCAGCGAGCCGGGAAGCGCGGCGGCCGUGGCCAGGUCCCUGAGCCAAUUCCCGGCCGUGGCCUCCCGGCUGAAUCCAUGCCGGGGGAGAGGUGCCUUGUUCUGGAUGCAGGAGCUCUGUGCCUCGGGAGCUCUGUGCCUCGGGAGCUCUGUGCCUCAGCGCCAGCGGCGAGGGCCGGCGGCGGAGCUGGAGAGCUGGAUCCCGCUGAGAGGAUGAAAACAUGGGGCUCAAGUUAUCCUGCCUGAAAGGCUUGAAGAUGUGCGUGAGCAGCGGGAACGGCAGCGACGGGACCCCGACCCCGGGACAGAAGCACCUGCACGUGCCCUCCAUCAUCGUCACGCCUCCCACGCCCACGGGCACCACGCUGUCCCGGCGUGGGGAGGGCCCCUCGCCCUGCAGCCCGUGCUGAGGGGGGACACGGGGGACACCCAGCCCUCCAGGACCUGUCCCUGCUCCCUCGGGAUGGGAGCCACAGCUCCCAGGGCGCUGCUGCAGCUGCCAGGGACACGCGGGGCACCCACACGGGUGGGUUUGGACACCAGGGAUUGGAUUUUGUCCCUUUUCCUGACAGCGCCGGGGAGGGGAUCCCCCCACGGUGAAUAAAACCCUG